UUCUCCACCGGGCUUUCCCCUCCCUCCUCUCUGGACCGGGAAGCAGCUAACCUCUUUGUGCAAGAAAGUACGAUGGGACAGAAAAAUCUUUUGCUGGUGACUUGCUUGUGGAUUCUGUCCUGCGCUGUUCUGCUUCAUGCUUCUUCUGAUGGAUUGGUAAGAAUUAACCUAAGUAAGAAGAAAUUGGACAAGAAAACCUUGGACGGUGCAAAAUUGGCAAGGGGGGAGAGCCAUCGUCUGAGAGUCGACGGUUUAGGUGACGACACAGUUCCUUUGGACAACUACCUGGACACUCAGUACUUUGGAGAAAUCGGUAUUGGCACGCCGCCACAGAACUUCACAGUGAUCUUUGACACUGGAAGCUCGAACUUGUGGGUUCCAUCGACGAAAUGCUAUUUUUCGAUAGCAUGCUACUUACACCACAGGUACAAGUCAAAAGGGUCAAGCAGUUACAAAAAGAAUGGAGAAUCUUGCACCAUUUCCUAUGGCUCUGGAUCAAUUGCUGGUUUCUUCAGUGAGGAUAGCGUGUUAGUUGGGGAUCUUGUUGUAAAAAACCAGAAGUUCAUUGAGACAACCAGGGAACCAAGCCUUACUUUCAUCAUUGGAAAGUUUGAUGGAAUUCUUGGACUUGGAUUUCCGGAAAUCUCUGUGGGAGGAGCCCCUCCAAUUUGGGAGGGAAUGAAAGAGCAGAAACUGAUUGCAAAGGACAUCUUCUCCUUCUGGCUUAACCGUGAUCCUGAUGCACCGACAGGGGGUGAGCUCAUCUUUGGUGGUGUAGACCCAAAUCAUUACAAGGGGAACCAUACAUAUGUUCCUGUUACCCGUAAGGGCUACUGGCAGUUUGAGAUGGGGGAUCUUCUUAUUGAUGACUACUCAACUGGGUUCUGUGCUGGUGGUUGCGCCGCGAUUGCGGAUUCAGGCACUUCAUUGCUCGGUGGCCCAACGACUAUUGUUGCUCAAAUUAACCAUGCAAUUGGGGCUGAAGGAAUUGUUAGUAUGGAAUGUAAAGAAGUUGUGCGGGAGUAUGGGAUAUGAUCCUUGAGAUGCUCAUAGAACAGGCAAACCCUCUGAGAUUGUGCUCUCAGAUCGGACUUUGUGAAUUUGAUGGUACACGAUUGGUCAGCAACAAUAUAGAGUCCGUCAUUGAUAAAGAAAAGGUGGGUUCAGAUCUUUCCUGUACUGCCUGUGAGAUGGCUGUUGUCUGGAUACAGAAUCAACUCCGACAUAACAAAACAAGAGAUGUCAUUCUGCAGUAUGCUAACCAGCUCUGCGAGCAUCUCCCAAGCCCCAAUGGUGAAUCAGCAGUCGACUGCGAUGAGAUCUCAAAGAUGCCAAACCUUGCGUUCACCAUAGCGAACAAGACCUUCACCUUGACACCAGAGCAGUACAUAGUGAAGCUGGAGCAGCAAGGCCAAACCAUUUGCAUCAGCGGGUUCAUGGCAUUCGAUGUGCCACCACCUCGCGGCCCUCUCUGGAUACUUGGAGAUGUGUUUAUGGGUGCAUACCACAUUGUCUUCGACUUCGGCGAGAACAGGAUUGGGUUCGCUGAAUCUGCUUGAGGAUCAUGCAACAUAUAGCUUGUACUGUAAUGUUUGUUAGGAAGCUUGUCUCCACGGUAUUGUAAGCUGGGAUGUCUAUAGCGAAUCUUGUGAAGGAAUAAAAUGCUUUCACGAUGAGCUUUAUCAGCUAUGGCUCGAUAUGGAUCUGGAUGAUACAAUGCAGAUGUAAUGAACAAAUGGAGCAUGAUGAGAAUUAGGCCUUUUCAUCUGAUCUCAUCACACACACACAUAUAUAUAUAAUGGAUGGUUUAUUUGGCAUAUAGAUAUAUAAUGAUGAGCUGUACAACUUUUGAUGAUUUUAAC
Molecule: RNA transcript, 1862 nt
Organism: Oryza brachyantha (malo sina)
Lineage: Eukaryota; Viridiplantae; Streptophyta; Magnoliopsida; Poales; Poaceae
Gene name: aspartic proteinase-like
Exons: 12
Source: RefSeq, a predicted model, not a curated record